This 543-nucleotide ribosomal RNA is filed under the name uncultured bacterium. RNAcentral describes it as "bacterial SSU rRNA". It matches the Rfam family "Bacterial small subunit ribosomal RNA", at positions 8 to 552 of the family's 1533-position model. The record is from RNAcentral.
AGAGUUUGAUCAUGGCUCAGGAUGAACGCUAGCGGCAGGCCUAACACAUGCAAGUCGAGGGGUAGAGUUCUUCGGAACUUGAGACCGGCGCACGGGUGCGUAACGCGUAUGCAAUCUACCUUAUACAGGGGAAUAGCCCAGAGAAAUUUGGAUUAAUGCCCCAUAGUGUUAUCGAAUCGCAUGGUUUGAUAACUAAAGUUCCAACGGUAUAAGAUGAGCAUGCGUCCCAUUAGUUAGUUGGUAAGGUAACGGCUUACCAAGACAAUGAUGGGUAGGGGUCCUGAGAGGGAGAUCCCCCACACUGGUACUGAGACACGGACCAGACUCCUACGGGAGGCAGCAGUGAGGAAUAUUGGUCAAUGGGCGCAAGCCUGAACCAGCCAUGCCGCGUGCAGGAAGAAGCAUCUAUGGUGUGUAAACUGCUUUUAUACAGGAAGAAACACCCCCACGUGUGGGGGCUUGACGGUACUGUAGGAAUAAGGAUCGGCUAACUCCGUGCCAGCAGCCGCGGUAAUACGGAGGAUCCAAGCGUUAUCCGGAAUC